RNAcentral lists this ribosomal RNA (465 nucleotides) under uncultured bacterium. RNAcentral's name for it is "partial 16S ribosomal RNA". It matches the Rfam family "Bacterial small subunit ribosomal RNA", at positions 28 to 507 of the family's 1533-position model. The record is from RNAcentral.
GACGAACGCUGGCGGCGUGCUUAACACAUGCAAGUCGAACGGAAAGGCCCUGCUUGCAGGGUACUCGAGUGGCGAACGGGUGAGUAACACGUGGGUGAUCUGCCCUGCACUUCGGGAUAAGCCUGGGAAACUGGGUCUAAUACCGGAUAGGAGCCAUUUUUAGUGUGAUGGUUGGAAAGUUUUUUCGGUGUAGGAUGAGCUCGCGGCCUAUCAGCUUGUUGGUGGGGUAAUGGGCUACCAAGGCGGCGACGGGUAGCCGGCCUGAGAGGGUGGACGGCCACAUUGGGACUGAGAUACGGCCCAGACUCCUAAGGGAGGCAGAAGUGGGGAAUAUUGCACAAUGGGCGCAAGCCUGAUGCAGCGACGCCGCGUGGGGGAUGACGGCCUUCGGGUUGUAAACUCCUUUCGCUAGGGACGAAGCUUUUUGUGACGGUACCUAGAUAAGAAGCACCGGCUAACUACGUG